GACGAACGCUGGCGGCGCGCUUAACACAUGCAAGUCGAACGGAAAGGCCUGCUUUCCUUUGUGGCUUGCGGGUACUCGAGUGGCGAACGGGUGAGUAACACGUGAGUGAUCUGCCCCCAACUUGGGUAUAAGCCUGGGAUACUGGGUCCAAUUCCCCAUCGGACUGCAGGGUGGUGCCUGUGGUGGAGCACGAUUUUCUAGUGGUAGGGGAUGAGCUCGCGGCCUAUCAGCUUGUUGGUGGGGGAAUAGCCUGCCAAGGCGGCGACGGGCUGCCGGCCUGAGAGUGUGGACAGGGACAGUGAGACUGAGAUACGACACAGGCACUUACGCGAGGCAGAGGUGGGUAAGGGUGGAAGCAGUGCGGAAUACUGAUGCAGCGACGCGGGGCGGAGGAUGACGGGCUUCGGGAUGUAUGCUGCUGUUAAGCGGGAGGAGGCCUCUUAGUUGGAAGGGUGGUGACGGUAGUGGUAGAAUAAGCACCGGCUAACUACGUG
RNAcentral lists this ribosomal RNA (494 nucleotides) under uncultured bacterium. RNAcentral describes it as "partial 16S ribosomal RNA". It matches the Rfam family "Bacterial small subunit ribosomal RNA", at positions 28 to 507 of the family's 1533-position model. The record is from RNAcentral.